This 497-nucleotide ribosomal RNA is filed under the name uncultured bacterium. RNAcentral describes it as "partial 16S ribosomal RNA". It matches the Rfam family "Bacterial small subunit ribosomal RNA", at positions 28 to 507 of the family's 1533-position model. The record is from RNAcentral.
GAUGAACGCUGGCGGCGUGCCUAAUACAUGCAAGUCGAGCGAACGGACGAGAAGCUUGCUUCUCUGAUGUUAGCGGCGGACGGGUGAGUAACACGUGGAUAACCUACCUAUAAGACUGGGAUAACUUCGGGAAACCGGAGCUACUACCGGAUAAUAUUUUGAACCGCAUGGUUCAAAAGUGAAAGACGGUCUUGCUGUCACUUAUAGAUGGAUCCGCGCUGCAUUAGCUAGUUGGUAAGGUAACGGCUUACCAAGGCAACGAUGCAUAGCCGACCUGAGAGGGUGAUCGGCCAGACGGGAAGUGAGACACGGUCCAGACACCUAGGGGAGGCAGCAGUAGGGAAUCUUCCGCAAUGGGGGAAAGCCUGACGGAGCAACGCCGCGUGAGUGAUGAAGGUCUUCGGAUCGUAAAACUCUGUUAUUAGGGAAGAAGAUAUGUGUAAGUAACUGUGCACAUCUUGACGGUACCUAAACAGAAAGCCACGGCUAACUACGUG